Molecule: ribosomal RNA, 253 nt
Filed under: uncultured Sphingomonas sp.
Lineage: Bacteria; Pseudomonadati; Pseudomonadota; Alphaproteobacteria; Sphingomonadales; Sphingomonadaceae
Description: partial 16S ribosomal RNA
Rfam family: Bacterial small subunit ribosomal RNA
Source: RNAcentral
UACGGAGGGGGCUAGCGUUGUUCGGAAUUACUGGGCGUAAAGCGUACGUAGGCGGCUUUGUAAGUUAGAGGUGAAAGCCCGGGGCUCAACCCCGGAAUAGCCUUUAAGACUGCAUCGCUUGAACGUCGGAGAGGUGAGUGGAAUUCCGAGUGUAGAGGUGAAAUUCGUAGAUAUUCGGAAGAACACCAGUGGCGAAGGCGGCUCACUGGACGACUGUUGACGCUGAGGUACGAAAGCGUGGGGAGCAAACAGG